This 421-nucleotide long non-coding RNA is filed under the name Olea europaea (common olive). RNAcentral describes it as "long non-coding RNA (OEUR_LNC005240)". Lineage: Eukaryota; Viridiplantae; Streptophyta; Magnoliopsida; Lamiales; Oleaceae. The record is from RNAcentral.
GUUGAUGUUCAAUGUUUGAUAGUAUCAUAAUGGACAAAGAAUGGCUGCAACUAUCAAGGUUACUGUCUGAAACAAAAUCUUAUAAAUCUAGUUUCAAAAUUUAACAAUAAUAUAAAAUGAUCAUACAAUUGUUGUUGUAGAUUUUCAGAACAAUACAGAGAUGGAGCACGGAAGUUUGUAGAACUAGCUUGUGAAACUCUAAAUUCAGAAAUGAUAGGAUGCCCUUGUAUCAAGUGUAGGAAUCUAAAGCAUCACAACUAUGAAAUAGUAUAUGAACAUUUGAUUAUUAAGGGUAUGGAUCCUACGUACACUGAUUGGGUAUUUCAUGGAGAAAAACCAAGUAAAUCAAAUUUGGUCGAUGUAGAAAUGCCUGAGUCAUGUAGGAUGUUUAGGGACUUCUAUACGCAACAUGACGUAGAUU